GUGGCGAGCGUUAUCCGGAAUGAUUGGGCGUAAGGGUGCGUAGUGGCAAUCAAGUCUGGAGUAAAAGGUAUGGGCUCAACCCGUACUGGCUCUGGAAACUGAUCAGCUAGAGAACAGAAGGGGAGAGUGGAAUUCCAUGUGUAGCGGUGAAAUGCGUAGAUAUAUGGAGAAACACCGGUGGCGAAAGCGGCUCUCUGGUCUGUAACUGACGCUGAGGCUCGAAAGCGUGGGGAGCAAACAGGAUUAGAUACCCUGGUAGUCCACGCCGUAAACGAUGAGUGCUAGGUGUUAGGCCCUUUCCGGGGCUUAGUGCCGCAGCUAACGCAUUAAGCACUCCGCCUGGGGAGUACGACCGCAAGGUUGAUACUCAAAGGGAUUGACGGGGGCCCGCACAAGCGGUGGAGCAUCUGGUUUAAUUCGAAGCAACGCGAAGAACCGUACCAGGUCUUGACAUCUAGUGCAAUCUGUAGAGAUACGGAGUUCCCUUCGGGGACGCUAAGACAGGUGGUGCAUGGCUGUCGUCAGCUCGUGUCGUGAGAUGUUGGGUUAAGUCGCGCAACGAGCGCAACCCUUGUUAUUAGUUGCCAGCAUUAAGUUGGGCACUCUAAUGAGACUGCCGGUGACAAACCGGAGGAAGGUGGGGAUGACGUCAAGUCAUCAUGCCCCUUAUGACCUGGGCUACACACGUGCUACAAUGGGCAGUACAACGAGAAGCAAGCCUGCGAAGGCAAGCGAAUCUCUGAAAGCUGUUCUCAGUUCGGAUUGUAGGCUGCAACUCGCCUACAUGAAGUCGGAAUCGCUA
Molecule: ribosomal RNA, 802 nt
Filed under: uncultured Bacillota bacterium
Lineage: Bacteria; Bacillati; Bacillota
Description: bacterial SSU rRNA
Rfam family: Bacterial small subunit ribosomal RNA
Source: RNAcentral